Octopus bimaculoides (California two-spot octopus) is the source of this 1117-nucleotide long non-coding RNA. Lineage: Eukaryota; Metazoa; Mollusca; Cephalopoda; Octopoda; Octopodidae. The record is from RefSeq and is a predicted model, not a curated record.
UAAGUAUCUAUGAGUGAAAAACGAAAGACAGAGGAGAAUAAAACUAAUUAUCUAUUUCAAGAAGUCAGAGUGUUUGGUUGCAAGAACAGGGUAUCCAAUAGCUGCAGAAGAAUUUAUACUACUAAUGAUUUUGUUAAAAAGUGGCUGAGAUAAUACAGUUAAAGGGACAAUUUCAAUUUCUAGUGGCCAGACUAAAAAAAACAAAGGAAACAAGGAUAUCAUCAUCAUUGUUUUAAUGCCCACUUUUGCAAGCUUCUAUGAUGGGCCAGACAGAAUUCACUGAUGUAAAUUUUCAACAGCAAGAUGCUCUUCCUGUCUCCGACCCUCCAAUGAUUCCAAGUAAGGAAUGGUUUUGUGAUGAAGAAAGUUUGCUUCAUAAUUAUGUAGUUCCUGGUUUGAUCCAACAGCACAGUGUUUCUCACUUGGAUUUUUAAAGCAAUUUGAGGGAAUUAGAUGCUGUUUUCUAGCAGGCUAAGAGACCACGUAGAGGUGGACUUGCUGAUGAUAAAGUUACAUGCGUAGGAGAGUUAGAGUCGAAUACACAAGGAAACGUGCAAACCAAUAAAAAAAAAGAACAAAAAAGAUUUCUAAAGCAACUUUCAGAAUAACUGCGGAGCUAGGAUCAAAAAUAACAGAUUUGCGAAGAAGAUUCUUCUUCAAUUCUUCAAACCAACGCAAAGAAGAAGCCUCAGAAAUAACAUUCUGCUGGAAAAAACUUCAUAAUUUAAAACUAUUCAAGUUUUAGAUAGAGGUUGAACAAAAAAAAAAAAAAAUAAAAAUAAAAAUAAUCCAUGGUGUAAAGAAGACAUGCAAAUGUGGAUUCUUUAGAAGAAAAGUACAGUUAUGUGUAAAAACAUCGACAGAAUUUAAGUGGGUAACACGCCACAAGAGGUAACAUGUUGGACUUGUAAAUAUUUAAUGAGUGUAAUGUAUUUAUUAUGCUGGGCUUAUAAAACUGAAACUUAACUUCAUUGAUUUAUCUUCCCUUCAACAUUACAUUUUAAGAGGCAUAAAAAUGACUUAUUGAACGGUUGUUAUGAAAAUGUUUUCUGUUACGAAUAGGAACAUUUUAAGAAUGCAUUAACGAAAGCAUACACAUGCACUUCAGAAGGCAACU